RNAcentral lists this ribosomal RNA (465 nucleotides) under uncultured bacterium. RNAcentral describes it as "partial 16S ribosomal RNA". It matches the Rfam family "Bacterial small subunit ribosomal RNA", at positions 338 to 795 of the family's 1533-position model. The record is from RNAcentral.
CCUACGGGUGGCAGCAGUGGGGAAUUUUGGACAAUGGGCGCAAGCCUGAUCCAGCUAUUCCGCGUGUGGGAAGACGGCCUUCGGGUUGUAAACCACUUUUGUAGAGAACGAAAAGUCCAUUGAUAAUACCGAUAGAUGAUGACGGUAUUCUAAGAAUAAGCACCGGACAACUACGUGCCAGCAGCCGCGGUAAUACGUAGGGUGCGGGCGUUAAUCGGAAUUACUGGGCGUAAAGGGGGUGCAGGCGGUAUUGCAAGAUGGAUGUGAAAGCCCCGGGCUUAACCUGGGAAAGGCAUACAUGACUGGAAGACUAGAGUGCGUCAGAGGGAGGUGGAAUUCCAAGUGUAGCAGUGAAAUGCGUAGAUAUUUGGAAGAACACCGAUGGCGAAGGCAGCCCCCUGGGACGCAACUGACGCUCAUACACGAAGGCGUGGGGAGCAAACAGGAUUAGAUACCCGAGUAGUC